CAACUUGAACAUAACAUGUCACUUUGAACAAGGUGACAACCCAACGUGUCUCUUUAAAGGCAGACGAUCCAACUUGAACUUAAUGUGCCACUUAGAGGGAGGUCACAACCAACAUGUCUCUUUGAAGGCGGACGACCCAACUUGAACAGAACAUGUCACUUUGAACGAGGUCACAACCCAAAGUGUCUCUUUAAAGACGGACGAC
This 205-nucleotide long non-coding RNA is filed under the name Solanum tuberosum (potato). RNAcentral's name for it is "long non-coding RNA (STUB_LNC010030)". Lineage: Eukaryota; Viridiplantae; Streptophyta; Magnoliopsida; Solanales; Solanaceae. The record is from RNAcentral.